GACGAACGCUGGCGGCGUGCCUAACACAUGCAAGUCGAACGGACGUAUUUCUUCGGAGAUACGUUAGUGGCGAACGGGUGAGUAACGCGUGAGAAACCUGCCUUUCAGUGGGGGACAACAGUUGGAAACGACUGCUAAUACCGCAUAAUGUUAUUUGGGGGCAUCCCUGAAUAACCAAAGCUUUAUGUGCUGAAAGAUGGUCUCGCGUCUGAUUAGCUGGAUGGCGGGGUAACGGCCCACCAUGGCGACGAUCAGUAGCCGGUCUGAGAGGAUGAACGGCCACAUUGGGACUGAGAUACGGCCCAGAUUCCUACGGGAGGCAGCAGUGGGGAAUAUUGGGCAAUGGGCGCAAGCCUGACCCAGCAACGCCGCGUGAAGGAAGAAGGCUUUCGGGUUGUAAACUUCUUUUGUCAGGGACGAACACAAUGACGGUACCUGACGAAUAAGCCACGGCUAACUACGUG
Molecule: ribosomal RNA, 464 nt
Filed under: uncultured bacterium
Lineage: Bacteria
Description: bacterial SSU rRNA
Rfam family: Bacterial small subunit ribosomal RNA
Source: RNAcentral